RNAcentral lists this transfer RNA (71 nucleotides) under Cordylochernes scorpioides. Its description in RNAcentral is "tRNA-Gly". The record is from RNAcentral. Lineage: Eukaryota; Metazoa; Arthropoda; Arachnida; Pseudoscorpiones; Chernetidae.
UGCAUCAGACGGGAAUCGAACCCGGGCCGCCCGCGUGGCUGGCGAGCAUUCUACCACUGAACCACCGAUGG